RNAcentral lists this ribosomal RNA (464 nucleotides) under uncultured bacterium. RNAcentral's name for it is "partial 16S ribosomal RNA". It matches the Rfam family "Bacterial small subunit ribosomal RNA", at positions 28 to 508 of the family's 1533-position model. The record is from RNAcentral.
GACGAACGCUGGCGGCGUGCUUAACACAUGCAAGUCGAACGGUGAACCUCUUCGGAGGGGAUCAGUGGCGAACGGGUGAGUAACACGUGGGCAACCUGCCCCCGGCUCUGGGAUAACUCCAAGAAAUUGGGGCUAAUACCGGAUGUUCACCGCUUCCCGCAUGGGUGGUGGUGGAAAGGGUUUCCGGCUGGGGAUGGGCCCGCGGCCUAUCAGCUUGUUGGUGGGGUAGUGGCCUACCAAGGCGACGACGGGUAGCCGGCCUGAGAGGGUGACCGGCCACACUGGGACUGAGACACGGCCCAGACUCCUACGGGAGGCAGCAGUGGGGAAUAUUGCGCAAUGGGCGGAAGCCUGACGCAGCGACGCCGCGUGGGGGAUGACGGCCUUCGGGUUGUAAACCUCUUUCAGCAGGGACGAAGCGCAAGUGACGGUACCUGCAGAAGAAGCGCCGGCCAACUACGUGC